UUGACUCCACUAUUGGUACGUUCUUUAGCUAAACAUUGUUUCUACUCUACAGGUGACAUGAGAAUUUCAAAUUUAAUGUUCUUCAUUUAUAAAAUGUUGUGGAGUUAUUUUUGUUGAAUCAUAUUUGUAUAUGGAAGGGCUGUUGUAGCUUUACUGAAUCAUACUGACGCUCUUAAAAAUCUUUCAGGGUCCAGAAGACGAAACUGCUUUAACUGAAACCAUAACAGAAGCUAUGACUGAAUUGGCGGAGAGGCUAUGAAGUGGAAAAUCUGAAAGAAGUUUGCAGUUAAAGAACAUUGCUAUCAACUGGUAGUUUCUUUUUGGCAAGGCCUCCCUUAGGUAUGCAUAUAGUUAUUGGCUACUAAAAGUUAGUUGCUUUCGGUUACUUGAUUGUUUUUGCUUGAUAUUUCCAAACAAUCACACAUGAAAACUGAAGAUCAAGAGGAAACCUGCAGAUACAUGAACAUGUUCUCCAAUUCACGUAUACCCUAUCACUUGGUCAACUGGGUGAUCAGUCAAGGUGAAGUGAUCAGAGAUGUGGACGCACCGCUAAACUCUACGCCUGCAUCCUUCAUCGAGUGGUGUGUAUCGCUUGAAGAACAAGGACUAAAGGUUUUGACUGUGACCAUUCCAACAUUGACACAACAAGUUUGAAGAGAAGUCCAGAUUGCAACCUUUUGUAUUCUCGGAUCGUUUUGUGAAUGGGACUAAGGUUGGAGUUUCAGACAUGAAGCUAUGAGUGCUGAACCACCCACCACUUGAAAAUCGGCUUAGCAUGAAACCCUGGAAAUGUAAGGAUGCUGCAGAAGUAGUAACUGUUGUCCAGAGAUUCUAACAUGUCACUUCGUAACAUUUUUAGGAUCUACUACUUUUUUUUUGAUCAAGUAGGAUCUACUACUUAACCAAGAAAAUAACUACUAUUGUGGAUCUUUGUAUUGUAAAGCAGACUCUUAAAGUCUUUUAGAGAUCA
Molecule: long non-coding RNA, 970 nt
Organism: Brassica napus (rape)
Lineage: Eukaryota; Viridiplantae; Streptophyta; Magnoliopsida; Brassicales; Brassicaceae
Exons: 2
Source: RefSeq, a predicted model, not a curated record